UUUUUUUUUGAACUGGGUUUAUGUGCGCCCCCCUCACCCCUCCUCUCUUUUUCUUUCUGCCUCUGUCGUCCUUCUCGCUGGCUUUUUUUUUUUUUUUUAAAUGAGGAACCGUUCCAUGAACAUUUUGCACAGAGCACAGAAUUGCUUCUAAAGUCAGCCCGGCGAGGUUGCAAUAGACAGCAAAAAGGUAAACGUUUGCCUGAAAUCCGCACGCCAGCUCCACCACCCCGCCCGAUGUGAUGCCGCUGAAACCUGAAAAUGACGCCACAGAACAACCAGCUAAAGUCCAAGUCAAGAUGGCGCACACUGGUCUAACAUGCUGGGCUGGAGUUCCGGCUUGCUGUGAACCUUGCUGUUGUCUUGCCACUGUCGGUGUUCUUCAGUCUGCACAGCUUAGGCAAAAACUAUUUGGAUACACACUUCUUGUCUGCCGGGACUGGGGGAACAACGAGAGAAAGGCAUGGUGGUGUGUACCUUCAAUCCCCAGCAUUUGGAAGGCAGAGGCAGGCAGAUCUCUGUGAUUUCAAAGCCUGUCUAGUCCACACAGAAAGUUCCAGGUUCUGUAACAAUCAAGAGCACGUGGACACCUUCCAGUGGGAGGAGGCUUGUGGAGGGAUAUUGUUUCUGGUUCCUGCUGAAGCCAGAGUUCUGGAGAUGAACAGCUGUUCAAGGAAAUGAAGGAAGACUCAUUAAAGAAUACAUGCUUAGAAGGAAACUGUUUUAAGCAUCGUCAUCUAUGUGAUGCCUCUGCACAGUCCUCCCUUUCCACAGACACCAACGCUGAAGCCCCAACACUGGGAGUCCCUAAAUAAGGACCCUGGAGAAGAAUUGCCAAAGGGAAUUUUAAGGAAGCCUGUGAUCCUAUAAGAAUGAUCAUCAGUGUAAAUCAAGUCAAAAGACUUAGAUGGUUUCUCCAGCACUCAAUCUCCAGCAUCCAGAACAGGUGCCAUAUGAGGUUUUUCCUCUGCCACGUCUUCCAACUAUGAUGUUGGCUAUCAUCAAAAAAACCCAGAUCAAUGAGAUCACGGCAUGGAAGACAGAUACCACUGUAACUAUUUUGACUUCCAGUUAAAACCUGCCAUCGUGUGUUCAGCAGGAGAGUGAAAGAAUGUCUAGCACACUGUACCAACAAUCAGAGGCUGAACCUGCCAGCAGCGCUGACUCUGAUGGACAAACGCUUCCUAGGGUGAGUGGACAGGAUUAAGAGCUGCUUUUGUCAGGACACCCACAAAACGUAGUUUUGUUCAAUGCGUUUGUCAUCAGUGCACAUGUGUAAGACAGUACAGUCUUAGAUAUAACAAGUGGGAUAGAUGAUGCCCAAGUGUGAGUCUCCAUGAGGAUACUGAGGCACAAGGCUCUUGAAGUAGGCAGCCAGUUCUCAUACCUGUGCCUCUAAUGAGAUUAUGGCUACCCCAUGACUACUCCACCUCAUAAAACAUUUUCAUCAUCUGAAAGACAGAAAUUACUUUUUACUCUUUCCAUUUUCUGAAAUUGAAAAAAAAAAAAAAACCCUCUCAGGUGAAAUCCCUGAAGACUGAGCUCCCUCUCUAUCAUGCUUAGAGGUCACUGGGCUGCCAUCUUCCUCGACCCCAGCAAUGUGUCCCCCAGCAGUGUUCUCUGCCUCUGUUACCAAAGACGGCCAAAUUAUGAGCACUCAUGCAUCUGGUCAAUUACACAAUGCUCCACCAACGAGGGAAAUUCCUUCUCCACUUCAGCUGGUGCACAGUUAUGCCCCGGAGCCCAGGACGGACAUGCCUUGUAACUUUUUAACCUAGUUAGCAUAACUGCCAAUAUUAUUCCCGUUCAUAUAAAUGUCUAAUCCUUUCUUGAAUCUUGCUAGACUAUUUCCCUCAAUAAUAUCCUGCAGCAGUGAAUUCCAAAGGUGCAUUAUACGCUGCUUUAAAAAUAUUUCCUUUAUUCGUUUUAAAUUUGUUGCCUUUUAACAUCGAAACGUGGCCAGAGCUCUUGCCUUAAGUGGAACAGGGUAACGAAAGAACUUCACGUCUCCCUAGCACUUUCUUACCUUUUACUAAAUCCCUUCUUCUCUCAAUAUUUUCUGUCUUGUCACUUAUAAUAGUGAUUAAGUGAGAUGAUUUGACUAAGUGGUUUUAUGCUACCUGGGAUACAGAGCAGGCAUUGGCCCAAAAGCUUUCCUUGAUAUUCAGUGUGAUUUAUUAGAUAAAUAUUUACCCAGUACCUAUUUGUGUAGGAACUGUUUCAAUUUUUGGAGAGACAGCUUUGAAUAAGACUAGGCCAUUGUUCAGAAGGACCUGACUUUUCUUGAGAGGAAAUGGGCACUAACAUAGUGUGUAAAUUAUAAGGUGCCAUUUCGAGGUCAAAAAAGAUCUAUCCAUCCUCCACAUCCUCAAAGUCUACCAGACUUGGCCUGGUUUCUUGCUGUUUUUUCCCCCUCUCUAAAAUCUGUAGCACUAGAAUUAUUUACAUAGCAUUUACAUUGCAUUAAGUAUUACAAGCUAUCUACAAAUGAUUAACUUGCAUGCAAGUAUGUGCAUAAAUUAUAUCAAGUUCCAUAACAUGCAAAAGAAGGGACUUGAACAUCUUGUGAUUUCAGGGUCCUUAGGUGAGGGAGUGUUUUUUUGAAAAUGGGGUAGUUGGGCCGGGCCACCUAUCAGUCAUCUAUGUGACAUCCCAGAGGACGACUCUGUGGCUCUGUAUUAUUUGUUGAGUAUGUGAAUGAAUCAAGAUUAAGAGAGGGUCAUUUUAUGAUGUCAUACUAGGUCUGUGAGGAACAGUUUUCUAAUGCUUCCCAUAACUCCCAAGAGUGUUGGAGGAGACAAAGGAAGGGAUUUAGCCAGAAGGAUUCCAGUUGCAAGACCCAAGGUGCUCUGUCUCAGCAGCUAUGUGACCUUGGUCAGGUCACUUUAUUGCUUGAACUCAAAGCAUUCUUUUUCAUAAAAAUAGGAAGGAAGUUUUCUUCUUUCUUGGGACUUUGAAUAUUUAGGCACCAUUCUCUGGAAGUUUUUUUUUUUUUCUUUAUCUUUAAUCUUUUUUGAUAGUCUAGUCAUUCUCCCCUGUCUCCAAGAGGAUUCUCACCCUCCCACCCCACCCCAUCCCACCCCACCCCAUCUUACCCCAUAAGUCUUCCACUCCCUGGGGACUUGGAAGUUCUUUAAAAACUGCCAAAUGGUGUAAAUGCUAUAGAACUUGGGACUUUAUUUUAUUUAAAAAUUUGUUUCUAGAUAAGGUCUUGAGUAGUCCAGGCUCACCUUUAAGUCACUAAAAAGCUGGGGAUGUCCGUGAACUCCUGAUUGCCCUUAUCACCCUCUGUGUACUUCCAUGUCCCUCUAUACAGUGCUGGGAGUCGAAGCCAGGACUUUCUGAAUCCUAGGCAAACACUUUUCCGACUAAGCUACAUCUCACAGCUGAAAGAUCUGGUUAUCAUUGCAAUCAUUCUUCCACAGGAUAUACUUCAGGCGUGUGCCGCAAGCCACACCCACAGCUGCAUCAAAUAUCUGGUCUUUCCUUCUUCCUUUUUUCUCUUCCUUGUUUUCUCAGUUCCCUAACUUAUCCCUGCCUCUCCUGACAGCCCAUCAAUGACCCCUUGGAAGUGCCCACCCUCAGAGCUAGCUUUGAACCUCUUCCUGAGCUUGUGAUUUGUUACUUGAGGAUUUCAAAAAAUGGAAUCAUGUGGCGUUCUUACUCAUUGAUUCAGUGGACUGAGGUGAUUACUUGCUUUGAUUUUGUUUGAUGCUUCUCCGUCUGGGGUCAGGCUAUCCAGCCGUCUACACAUGAAGGCAGAGCCCUUGACUGAAUUUCUGAGUGAAUCCCUCCCGAGAAACCACACUUUGACCCAAUUACCUGUCUUUAGCUUUCCCAGGACAACAUUCCAAUGUGGUAAGUAUAUAUACCAUUUCCUUGUGUAGUCUCCUCCCAUGAUUCUUUCUAAUCGUUUCUUAAUGCACCUCUCCCUUACUGAGUAGAGUCAUGCACAACCCUGCAUAAUCAUGUAUUUAAAAGGCAUCUUAAUAAAUUAUUAGGAUUGUUUACACGCAUGGUUCGAAUUUACUGGCAGCUUGCUUGGGCCUUGGUUUUAGGAUGUAGCUGCUGGCCAGGCUCCUUCUGGGUGAAAGUCUGAAAUAGGAGAGGUUGCCCUUUACUGUCCCUCACCGGCACUUCCUCUGCCUGGUUCCUGGCCUUUCAACACCUCCUUCCUUUCCCUGCCCUGAAUAACUCUGAGGGGCUGACAGGCGUUUUGCACCUUCAUGUGAAGACGUUUUGUGGGUCCCUUCCUAGAUCUGCCCCCAACCAAGGUGAGGUACGCAAAGAAAUAAAUCUUCAAUGGUAUAAUUUUAGAUGCUCUGGCAGCUGGAGAGGGCAGCUAUUUUGGGCUGUAGGGCUUUCUCCUUGACCCGAGGUGACACGGUUUUGCCUGUUGCUAGAGUAGCCAGCCAACCCUGCAGAGUGUCCUUUUGGCUGCGUGCUUGCAGUUCCUGGGGUGGCUUCUUCAUGCCCUCCACUGAGAUCUGUGAUCAUCCAGAAUUUUGUGUCCUCACCUCGUGCAGGGGCAAGCAUCUGCUGACAGGUGCCAUGCUCCAGCACAGCCUUCGGAGUCAAUAAAGAUGGAGCUGACCCGCUCUGUGGCCGAAGAUAGAGGAAAACCGAUGGUCCAGUUUCUGUGUGUUCCUCAGUUCCCAUGGUUUAUCGGCUGCUUGGCCACCAUUGUAUGAAUCACCCCUACUUGGAUCCAGGCAGGUCUCCAGACCACAGUGUCUCUGCCUCACCUCCUACACUGCCUGGCUGGAAGCUGUGUGUUCAUGAUGUCUCUUCUGACCACCCUGCUUGCUGUCUUCCCCAGGAUCCUGAUGCAGCUGCUAUCUGCAGACCUCCUGGACUGCCCUGGGAAGGGAGUAGGAGGUCCUGCCACAGAUGGGUGGAACGUGGACAAGAAGGGCUAAAGGUGGCCAAAAAUAACAGUGCCUUCCAGAUGAUGAGGUGACCUCAGGGCCAAAGCAUCAUGGGCUAGUGGCCUGCCAAUCACAGGACAUCAGUAUGCACAGUGCCCAGCGUCUCCUCCUCCAGGUUCAGCAUCGACAUCUUCCUUCAGAGGACCUACUCCAAUCUCAGGACUUUCAGAAGUUUUCCUUUUAAAAAGAUGAAGACCUCUACAGAAAAGCGGUCUAGCUGCUUGGACACGGUGGCACACGCCUCUACUGCUGGUGCCCUGCAGGAGGACCACAGCAGUUCCUGGCACCUAGUAGGUGAAUCAGAAGAUAUAAUUCACACUGGCAAAUGAUUUACAUAUCUGGAAGAGGAAAUAGAUGGAAGCACAAUGUACCACAGCCACCAAGACCUAGGAGGGUAAGGAACUGGGAGUCAGGAAGGUCAACGGAGAUGCAAAACGAGUGGAGAAGGCAUCGAUGGAGCCUCCCUUGGGUGGUGUAAGCAGGACGGAGACCACAUUAGGUAUUCCCUGCUGCAGAUACAUGCCUGAAUGAGUUCAAAGCCUACACUGCCAGAAGGAGUUAGCUGAAACAACCUUUGGAAGGAGAGAAUCGCUCAAUCAUAGUCAAACUACUCAAAGGCAAAGGAAAAGAAGGAAUGUUGGAAGCAGCAAGGGGACUACACAUUCCUCAGUAGGAUCAACAAACUGCCUUCCUACCAGAGGUUCAGAGACCAGAAGGGCAACUGUUCCCACAGUGGACAGGAAGACAGAAAGACAAUGGAUAAAGAAUUAUAAUCCAGGCAAAAAUUAUCCUGCAAAAUUAGACAAGAAAUAAAGUCAAAGCCAAUAAAGGAAGAAAAAGGAGGGAAGAAAAGAAAAAGAGUCAUUGUGGCAAUAGACUUUCUCUGAAAGAAGUAUUAAAGUAAGUCCUUCAUGUAGAGAUAAAAGGAUAACAGGAAGUAACAGUAAUGGGCAAAUGAAGCUAUACAGGUAAGUAUGAAAAUGAGAAACAUUAGUGACUCUGUAUAAAUCUUUUAUUUAUAAGCCAACAUCAUAAGCAAGAAUUAAUCAACUAGCAUAU
Molecule: long non-coding RNA, 5984 nt
Organism: Apodemus sylvaticus (European woodmouse)
Lineage: Eukaryota; Metazoa; Chordata; Mammalia; Rodentia; Muridae
Exons: 13
Source: RefSeq, a predicted model, not a curated record